GUGGUACAGGAUGGUCCCGCGUCUGAUUAGCCAGUUGGCAGGGUAACGGCCUACCAAAGCGACGAUCAGUAGCCGGCCUGAGAGGGUGGACGGCCACAUUGGGACUGAGACACGGCCCAAACUCCUACGGGAGGCAGCAGUGGGGAAUAUUGCACAAUGGGGGAAACCCUGAUGCAGCGACGCCGCGUGAGUGAAGAAGUAUCUCGGUAUGUAAACUUCUAUCAGCAGGGAAGAAAAUGACGGUACCUGACUAAGAAGCCCCGGCUAACUAC
Molecule: ribosomal RNA, 272 nt
Filed under: uncultured bacterium
Lineage: Bacteria
Description: partial 16S ribosomal RNA
Rfam family: Bacterial small subunit ribosomal RNA
Source: RNAcentral